AAGGCUACCUGUGUCCUGUGUAACUUCAUGAGGAUGGACACGAGGACCAGGAGGGGAUCUGCAGCUGGCCGCCGUGUCCCAGAGGAGGAGUCUGCUGCUCUGCAGGAUGUUUCAAGGACGGUGUCCAACAACGCAGCAAGAGAGGCAAUCCGUGUGCAGGAGAUCUUCACCUCCUACUUCUUCAAAGAGGGUGCUGUUCCCUGGCAACACCAUAGACUACACUAUGCACAACCAAAGGCUCUUUUAAGAGCCAUCCACAUUGCAAUAAGAGUAUUCUUCCAUUUACUUAGCUAUGUCAACUGCAGUUAUUCAAUUCACAGUUUCUCUCCCUUUGAUUUCUACUUCUCAGGUGAGGGUGCUGUUUAGGUAAGGGUGUGAUGUCUGUGCAAAAACAAAACAGGCUAUCUUAAAUCACUAAUAUUGAAAAAAUUUAGAACAAUUGGACACCCUAUAACCCACACCUACACACUCAUGUAUCAAUCUGAUUGAUGGAUUGUGUUGUGCAGUAAGCAGGUUCAGGUGUAUAACUGUGGCUCCUUCCACCUUCAAAGAAUAGGCAAGAGGGCCAACCAUGGAGAAUAGUAAGACACUAUAUAACUACACUAUAUUGUUUGUCCUCAUGUGUCCGUUCAUGUUUUUCAGCAUAAAGUACUCUGCAGCCACUUAGUGUGGUGUGGACACCAGUCGAGGCCACACACAGAUUCCUGUUGAACACUGUGGCUUUAACUACCUUAUUUUCUCAAUAACAGUCUCUCUCCUUCACUUCAUCCCUCUCUCCCCUUCUCCCUAAAUCCUCUAGGUUAUAUCAGCUGUGUCGGUGAACCCCUCCUGCAUCUGAACAGGCUACAUCGAGGGCACAGCAUGGUCAGAGAGAUGUUUUGAUGUGAGAGGAUGCCAACCCCCAGUCCCAUCAUCGCCACCUCACCCUCUUUUAAGAUGACCUUUGUGCCGACUAGAGACCCUAUUAUGUAAUUGUAAUGAACUGAGAGAAUUUUUAGGUUGCACUGUGAUUCAUUAAUCAUGUGCUGCCUUCCCUGCUCCUAUGUGCUUACCUCUUUCCCUUUCUGUCUUUUACACCUCUCUCUCUCCAUCUCCUCUUUCUUCCUCUGUUUUUAUAAUGCACAACAGAUGUGCAUUGAAGUACAGAUUGAACUUGUAUUUGUAACACUUGGAUAAUGAGCUUUUCAAUAAAGCGUUUCACAUUCUCUA
Salvelinus fontinalis (brook trout) is the source of this 1209-nucleotide long non-coding RNA. RefSeq lists it as uncharacterized. The transcript is spliced from 2 exons. NCBI's taxonomy places the organism in Eukaryota, Metazoa, Chordata, Actinopteri, Salmoniformes, Salmonidae. The record is from RefSeq and is a predicted model, not a curated record.